GUGUCAGCAGCCGCGGUAAGACGUAGGAUCCGAGCGUUGUCCGGAGUUACUGGGCGUAAAGCGCGCGCAGGCGGACCGAUACAUCGGCGGUGAAAGCCCCCCGCUCAACGGGGGAGGGUCCGUCGAGAUGGUCGGUCUGGAGGCAGGGAGAGGCCAGUGGAAUUCCGGGUGUAGUGGUGAAAUGCGUAGAGAUCCGGAGGAACACCAGUGGCGAAGGCGGCUGGCUGGACCUGACCUGACGCUGAGGCGCGAAGGCGUGGGGAGCGAACGGGAUUAGAUACCCCGGUAGUCC
RNAcentral lists this ribosomal RNA (292 nucleotides) under uncultured bacterium. Its description in RNAcentral is "partial 16S ribosomal RNA". It matches the Rfam family "Bacterial small subunit ribosomal RNA", at positions 505 to 796 of the family's 1533-position model. The record is from RNAcentral.